GUCCAGAAGACUAAUGCCUAAGAAUAAGUUCUCUGAAGAUGUUGUCUUGUUUUGGUAGUAAUUUAUUAGUAUGAAAGGACAAUGUCUUAUAAUAAGAAGUCUAGGUUUUACUUUGUUUUGUUAUAGUGAAUAGUCUGUAAUGGUAAUCUUAUCAUUUUGAGUCUUCAGUUUGGAUCCUCAUCUUCCUUUGCAGAGGUGUGUGGAUUGGUAUACUGUGG
RNAcentral lists this unclassified non-coding RNA (218 nucleotides) under Hevea brasiliensis (rubber tree). The record is from RNAcentral. Lineage: Eukaryota; Viridiplantae; Streptophyta; Magnoliopsida; Malpighiales; Euphorbiaceae.